CAGUAGCCGCGGGAAUACGGAGGGAGCUAGCGUUGUUCGGAAUUACUGGGCGUAAAGCGCGCGUAGGCGGUUACUCAAGUCAGAGGUGAAAGCCCGGGGCUCAACCCCGGAACUGCCUUUGAAACUAUGUGACUAGAAUCUUGGAGAGGUCAGUGGAAUUCCGAGUGUAGAGGUGAAAUUCGUAGAUAUUCGGAAGAACACCAGUGGCGAAGGCGACUGACUGGACAAGUAUUGACGCUGAGGUGCGAAAGCGUGGGGAGCAAACAGGAUUAGAGACCCGCGUAGUCCCUGUCUCUUAUAC
RNAcentral lists this ribosomal RNA (301 nucleotides) under uncultured bacterium. RNAcentral describes it as "partial 16S ribosomal RNA". It matches the Rfam family "Bacterial small subunit ribosomal RNA", at positions 509 to 807 of the family's 1533-position model. The record is from RNAcentral.